Molecule: ribosomal RNA, 241 nt
Filed under: uncultured bacterium
Lineage: Bacteria
Description: partial 16S ribosomal RNA
Rfam family: Bacterial small subunit ribosomal RNA
Source: RNAcentral
AUUGACCUACGGGAGGCAGCAGUGAGGAAUAUUGGUCAAUGGUCGGGAGACUGAACCAGCCAAGCCGCGUGAGGGAUGAAGGUACAGAGUAUCGUAAACCUCUUUUGUCAGGGAACAAAGGCGGGGACGUGUCCCCGGAUGAGUGUACCUGGAGAAAAAGCAUCGGCUAACUCCGUGCCCGCAGCCGCGGUAAUACGGAGGAUGCGAGCGAUAUCCGGAUUUAUUGGGUUUAAAGAGUGUG